RNAcentral lists this long non-coding RNA (283 nucleotides) under Setaria viridis. Its description in RNAcentral is "long non-coding RNA (SVIR_LNC004469)". The record is from RNAcentral. Lineage: Eukaryota; Viridiplantae; Streptophyta; Magnoliopsida; Poales; Poaceae.
UAACAUAUUCCUGUGAAGCAUGGCGACUCAUUCGAUUUCAGACUGGGGUGAGCUCCUGACUUCCACAAAGCGACUCCACAACAUGGACCGCAAUAGUACCCAUUACAGGUAUCACCUCCAACUCCUAUGCUCCUCAACCAUGUACUCGCAACAAGUACCAAAUCGGGAACAUAUGAGAAUGAACCCCAAUCCCCCAAUCCAAAAAUUGGGUUGUGUAAAGCUCACCCCCGUCAAAUAUCCCAAAACACCUUCUCCUGCUAGUUUUAACCCCACUCACGCCAAG